This 480-nucleotide ribosomal RNA is filed under the name Alternaria longipes. RNAcentral describes it as "eukaryotic LSU rRNA". The stretch from base 176 to 329 matches the Rfam family "5.8S ribosomal RNA". Lineage: Eukaryota; Fungi; Ascomycota; Dothideomycetes; Pleosporales; Pleosporaceae. The record is from RNAcentral.
AAUAGGACAUUACCAAUAUGACGGCGGGCUGGAACCUCUCGGGGUUACAGCCUUGCUGAAUUAUUCACCCUUGUCUUUUGCGUACUUCUUGUUUCCUUGGUGGGUUCGCCCACCACUAGGACAAACAUAAACCUUUUGUAAUUGCAAUCAGCGUCAGUAACAAAUUAAUAAUUACAACUUUCAACAACGGAUCUCUUGGUUCUGGCAUCGAUGAAGAACGCAGCGAAAUGCGAUAAGUAGUGUGAAUUGCAGAAUUCAAUGAAUCAUCGAAUCUUUGAACGCACAUUGCGCCCUUUGGUAUUCCAAAGGGCAUGCCUGUUCGAGCGUCAUUUGUACCCUCAAGCUUUGCUUGGUGGUGGGCGUCUUGUCUCUAGCUUUGCUGGAGACUCGCCUUAAAGUAAUUGGCAGCCGGCCUACUGGUUUCGGAGCGCAACACAAGUCGCACUCUCUAUCAGACAAGGUCUAGCAUCCAUUAAGCCU